Molecule: ribosomal RNA, 918 nt
Filed under: uncultured bacterium
Lineage: Bacteria
Description: bacterial SSU rRNA
Rfam family: Bacterial small subunit ribosomal RNA
Source: RNAcentral
UAGUUGGUGGGGUAAAGGCCUACCAAGGCGACGAUCAGUAGCGGGUCUGAGAGGAUGAUCCGCCACACUGGAACUGAGACACGGUCCAGACUCCUACGGGAGGCAGCAGUGGGGAAUUUUGGACAAUGGGGGCAACCCUGAUCCAGCCAUUCCGCGUGAGUGAAGAAGGCCUUCGGGUUGUAAAGCUCUUUCAGCUGGAACGAAACGGUACAUCCUAAUACGGUGUGCUAAUGACGGUACCAGCAGAAGAAGCACSGGCUAACUACGUGCCAGCAGCCGCGGUAAUACGUAGGGUGCGAGCGUUAAUCGGAAUUACUGGGCGUAAAGCGUGCGCAGGCGGAUUGUUAAGCAAGAUGUGAAAUCCCCGGGCUUAACCUGGGGAAUGGCAUUUUGAACUGGCAGUCUAGAGUGUGUCAGAGGGGGGGUGGAAUUCCACGUGUAGCAGUGAAAUGCGUAGAGAUGUGGAGGAACACCAAAUGGGCGAAGGCAGCCCCCUGGGGAUAACACUGACGCUCAUGUACGAAAGCGUGGGUAGCAAACAGGAUUAGAUACCCUGGUAGUCCACGCCCUAAACGAUGUCAACUGGUUGUUGGGGGAGUGAAAUCCCUUAGUAACGAAGCUAACGCGUGAAGUUGACCGCCUGGGGAGUACGGUCGCAAGAUUAAAACUCAAAGGAAUUGACGGGGACCCGCACAAGCGGUGGAUGAUGUGGAUUAAUUCGAUGCAACGCGAAAAACCUUACCUACCCUUGACAUGUCCAGAACCCUGCAGAGAUGCGGGGGUGCCCGAAAGGGAAUUGGAACACAGGUGCUGCAUGGCUGUCGUCAGCUCGUGUCGUGAGAUGUUGGGUUAAGUCCCGCAACGAGCGCAACCCUUAUCAUUAGUUGCUACGCAAGGGCACUCUAAUGAGACUGCCGG